CAGCAGGUCUAAAGGAGGUCUAUAGCAGUCUACAGCAGGUCUAAAGGAGGUCUAUAGCAGGUCUACAGCAGGUCUAAAGGAGGUCUAUGUCUACAGCAGGUCUAAAGGAGGUCUAUAGCAGGUCUACAGGUAGUCUACAGCUGGUCUACAGGAGGUCUACAGCAGGUCUACAGGAGGUCUACAGCAGGUCUAAAGGAGGUCUAUAGCAGGUCUAAAGCAGGUCUAAAGGAGGUCUAUUGCAGGUCUACAGCAGGUCUACAGCAGGUCUACAGAAGGUCUACAGCAGGUCUACAGGAAUCUAUAGCAGGUCUACAGCAGGUCUACAGGAGGUCUAAAGGAGGUCUAUUGCAGGUCUACAGCAGGUCUACAGGAGAUCUAUAGCAGGUCUAAAGCAGGUCUAAAGGAGGUCUAUUGCAGGUCUACAGCAGGUCUACAGAAGGUCUACAGCAGGUCUACAGGAAUCUAUAGCAGGUCUACAGCAGGUCUACAGGAGGUCUAAAGGAGGUCUAUUGCAGGUCUACAGCAGGUCUACAGGAGAUCUAUAGCAGGUCUA
Molecule: long non-coding RNA, 553 nt
Organism: Austrofundulus limnaeus
Lineage: Eukaryota; Metazoa; Chordata; Actinopteri; Cyprinodontiformes; Rivulidae
Exons: 3
Source: RefSeq, a predicted model, not a curated record